This 252-nucleotide ribosomal RNA is filed under the name uncultured bacterium. Its description in RNAcentral is "partial 16S ribosomal RNA". It matches the Rfam family "Bacterial small subunit ribosomal RNA", at positions 524 to 776 of the family's 1533-position model. The record is from RNAcentral.
UACGGAGGAUGCGAGCGUUAUCCGGAUUUAUUGGGUUUAAAGGGUGCGUAGGCGGAUUUUUAAGUCAGCGGUAAAAUGUCCGGGCUCAACCCGGGCCGGCCGUUGAAACUGGGGAUCUUGAGUGGGCGAGAAGUAUGCGGAAUGCGUGGUGUAGCGGUGAAAUGCAUAGAUAUCACGCAGAACUCCGAUUGCGAAGGCAGCAUACCGGCGCCCUACUGACGCUGAGGCACGAAAGCGUGGGUAUCGAACAGG